UACGAAGGGGGCUAGCGUUGUUCGGAAUCACUGGGCGUAAAGCGCACGUAGGCGGAUUGCUAAGUCAGGGGUGAAAUCCUGGAGCUCAACUCCAGAACUGCCUUUGAUACUGGUGAUCUUGAGUCCGGGAGAGGUGAGUGGAACUGCGAGUGUAGAGGUGAAAUUCGUAGAUAUUCGCAAGAACACCAGUGGCGAAGGCGGCUCACUGGCCCGGUACUGACGCUGAGGUGCGAAAGCGUGGGGAGCAAACAGG
Molecule: ribosomal RNA, 253 nt
Filed under: uncultured bacterium
Lineage: Bacteria
Description: partial 16S ribosomal RNA
Rfam family: Bacterial small subunit ribosomal RNA
Source: RNAcentral